AAAACAGGAGCGGUUCGCCCUAUAAGGAAAUUCCCCGCCUCCCAGCCCAUCAUGCCUUGCUGCCGACUUCCGGUUCUCCAGGGUAUAAAGCGGCGGCUCCGGGCCAAAUUUCAGGAGAAGCUUUGGUGCGAGCCUCUUGACUCUUCUGACCUGGAUCGUUUUCCCUGGAAUAAAUGGUGUCAGACUCGUUGCUAAAUAGUCUGACAACCAGAGGGGACGAGCCCAUGGCUGCCGAAGGUUCCAGGUCAGCCCCCAGAGCCCGGUGAAGCCACUCUACCUCCCGCUCGCUCUUCGCGUCUCAGGUAAUCUUCGAAGCAAGGGAAGAGAAGAGUAUGCUAUCCUGUCAUGACAUUUCUUUUCAAAAUACGUGGCUUAAAGAGGAACGGAAAGAGAAGUCAUUAUUUCCAAACUUCAAGGACAGAGAUCCUCUAGGAUUCUACCCAGUAUUGAGCUUGCAUUCCUGUUGUUUCAUGAGGACAAUGCAGAGGAACUCAUGUGUAUGCUGUGUAUGCAGUGGUUUGGAGUCACAAGUGAGGAAUACUGAGCCUGCAGAAGCCACUGUAUUAAUAACUCUUGGCAUUUUCAACGAAGCCAUUAUGAGGCACAUGUGGAAGUUUGACCUCUUUGAAAAACUACUUGAGAGUGUUCUUCCUCUUUGUAAAAAAGAAUAA
Molecule: long non-coding RNA, 671 nt
Organism: Vulpes vulpes (red fox)
Lineage: Eukaryota; Metazoa; Chordata; Mammalia; Carnivora; Canidae
Source: Ensembl